GAAAUGCGAUAAGUAGUGUGAAUUGCAGAAUUCAGUGAAUCAUCGAAUCUUUGAACGCACAUUGCGCCCCUCGGUAUUCCGUGGGGCAUGCCUGUUCGAGCGUCAUCUACACCCUCAAGCUCUGCUUGGUGUUGGGCGUCUGUCCCGCCUCCUUCGCGCGCGGACUCGCCCCAAAUCCAUUGGCGUCGGCCCUUGCCUCCCUCUCGCGCAGCACAUUGCGCUUCUCGAGGCGCGGCGGACCGCGUCCAGCAAGCAACCGUCACACCGUCUUUGACCUCGGAUCAGGUAGGGAUACCCGCUGAACUUAAGC
This 310-nucleotide unclassified non-coding RNA is filed under the name plant metagenome. RNAcentral's name for it is "partial contains 5.8S ribosomal RNA, internal transcribed spacer 2, and large subunit ribosomal RNA". The stretch from base 1 to 105 matches the Rfam family "5.8S ribosomal RNA", at positions 50 to 154 of the family's 154-position model. The record is from RNAcentral.